UCUCGGCUUAUCACCGGCAGUCCCCCUAGAGUGCCCAACUGAAUGAUGGCAACUAAGGGCGAGGGUUGCGCUCGUUGCGGGACUUAACCCAACAUCUCACGACACGAGCUGACGACGGCCAUGCAGCACCUGUCACUUGGCUCCCGAAGGCACCCCACCGUUUCCGGCGGGUUCCAAGGAUGUCAAGCCUGGGUAAGGUUCUACGCGUAGCGUCAUAUUAAACCACAUGAUCCUCUGCUUGUGCGGUUCCCCGUCAAUUCCUUUGAGUUUUAGCCUUGCGGCCGUACUUCCCAGGCGGCAUACUUAUCGCGUUAGCUGCGACGCACAGGGGGUCGAUACCCCAUACGUCUAGUAUGCAUCGUUUACGGCGUGGACUUC
RNAcentral lists this unclassified non-coding RNA (378 nucleotides) under uncultured bacterium. RNAcentral describes it as "contains 16S-23S intergenic spacer region". The record is from RNAcentral.